AGUGAACGCUGGCGGUAGGCCUAACACAUGCCAGUCGAACGGCAGCACAGUAAGAGCUUGCUCUUACGGGUGGCGAGUGGCGGACGGGUGAGGAAUACAUCGGAAUCUACUUUUUCGUGGGGGUUAACGUAGGGAAACUUACGCUAAUACCGCAUACGACCUACGGGUGAAAGCAGGGGAUCUUCGGACCUUGCGGGAUUGAAUGAGCCGAUGUAGGAUUAGCUAGUUGGCGGGGUAAAGGCCCACCAAGGCGACGGUCCGUAGCUGGUCUGAGAGGAUGAUCAGCCACACUGGAACUGAGACACGGUCCAGACUCCUACGGGAGGCAGCAGUGGGGAAUAUUGGACAAUGGGCGCAAGCCUGAUCCAGCCAUACCGCGUGGGUGAAGAAGGCCUUCGGGUUGUAAAGCCCUUUUGUUGGGAAAGAAAAGCAGCAGGUUAAUACCCCGCUGUUCUGACGGUACCCAAAGAAUAAGCACCGGCUAACUUCGUG
This 492-nucleotide ribosomal RNA is filed under the name uncultured bacterium. RNAcentral describes it as "partial 16S ribosomal RNA". It matches the Rfam family "Bacterial small subunit ribosomal RNA", at positions 29 to 507 of the family's 1533-position model. The record is from RNAcentral.